Molecule: transfer RNA, 85 nt
Filed under: Felis catus (domestic cat)
Lineage: Eukaryota; Metazoa; Chordata; Mammalia; Carnivora; Felidae
Rfam family: tRNA
About the family: Transfer RNA (tRNA) molecules are approximately 80 nucleotides in length. Their secondary structure includes four short double-helical elements and three loops (D, anti-codon, and T loops). Further hydrogen bonds mediate the characteristic L-shaped molecular structure. tRNAs have two regions of fundamental functional importance: the anti-codon, which is responsible for specific mRNA codon recognition, and the 3' end, to which the tRNAs corresponding amino acid is attached (by aminoacyl-tRNA synthetases). tRNAs cope with the degeneracy of the genetic code in two manners: having more than one tRNA (with a specific anti-codon) for a particular amino acid; and 'wobble' base-pairing, i.e. permitting non-standard base-pairing at the 3rd anti-codon position.
Source: Rfam by way of RNAcentral
GCCUGGGUGGCUCAGUCGGUUGAGCGUCUGACUUGGGCUCAGGUCGUGAUCUCGCGGUUCGUGGGUUCGAGCCCCGCGGCAGGCC